GACGAACGCUGGCGGCGUGCUUAACACAUGCAAGUCGAACGGAAAGGCCCUGCUCUUGUGGGGUGCUCGAGUGGCGAACGGGUGAGUAACACGUGAGUAACCUGCCCUUGACUGUGGGAUAACUUCAGGAAACUGGGGCUAAUACCGGAUAGGAUCUCCUGCUGCAUGGUGGGGAUUGGAAAGUUUCGGCGGUGGGGGAUGGUCUCGCGGCUUAUCCGCUUGUUGGUGAGGUAGUGGCUGCCCAAGGCUUUGACGGGUAGCCGGCCUGAGAGGGUGACCGGCCACAUGAGGACUACGGUAGGGACCAGUCGCGAACGGGCGGCAACGGUGGAGAGUAUGACGGAGUGGGCGCACGUCAGAGAUGAAGGCCUCGCGUGCGGAAUACCGGGUUAUGGGUUAUAAACCGAUGUGGCAGGAGACAUAGAGGGCGUGACGGUAAUGGGUCAGGAAGCCCCGGCUAACUACGUG
Molecule: ribosomal RNA, 468 nt
Filed under: uncultured bacterium
Lineage: Bacteria
Description: partial 16S ribosomal RNA
Rfam family: Bacterial small subunit ribosomal RNA
Source: RNAcentral